GAAACGACUGCUAAUCCCGCAUAAUCCCUGAGGGGGAAAGAUUUAUCGCUCUAAGAUUGGCCCGCGGAAGAUUAGGUAGUUGGUGGGGUAAAGGCCUACCAAGCCGACGAUCUAUAGCUGGUCUGAGAGGACGAACAGCCACAUUGGAACUGAGACACGGUCCAGACUCCUACGGGAGGCAGCAGUGAGGAAUAUUGGGCAAUGGAGGAAACUCUGACCCAGCCAUGCCGCGUGAGUGAAGAAGGUUUUCGAAUUGUAAAGCUCUUUCGGAUGGGACGAUGAUGACGGUACCAUCUAAAGAAGCCCCGGCAAACUUCGUGCCAGCAGCCGCGGUAAUACGAAGGGGGCAAGCGUUGUUCGGAAUUACUGGGCGUAAAGGGUGUGUAGGCGGAUUUGUAAGAUAGUGGUGAAAUACCUGAGCUCAACUUAGGAAUUGCCAUUAUAACUAUAGAUCUGGAGUGACAGAGAGGAUAUUGGAAUACCCAGUGUAGAGGUGAAAUUCGUAGAUAUUGGGUAGAACACCAGUGGCGAAGGCGAGUAUCUGGCUGUCAACUGACGCUGAGGCACGAAAGCAUGGGGAUCAAACAGGAUUAGAUACCCUGGUAGUCCAUGCUGUAAAAGAGGAAUGCUAGUUGUCGGCAAAAGCCGGUG
Molecule: ribosomal RNA, 651 nt
Filed under: uncultured bacterium
Lineage: Bacteria
Description: bacterial SSU rRNA
Rfam family: Bacterial small subunit ribosomal RNA
Source: RNAcentral